UGGGAAUUGUAGUUUCGGUGCCGCGUGCUGCAGCGCCGUGGCGCUCGGUGGGAACUCGGUGUCCCAGCGCGCCCCGGGCAGGUGCUGUCGCGGCGGCCGUGAGGAGAGCGUCAGGCGGGAAAGGCGGGCAGCGCUGUGAGCGGGCGCCGGGCCUGCGCAGCUUCAGGCUGCAGGAGGACGAGGCCAGGAUGGGAGAGGCUGAUGGAGAACGUGCCAGCCAGAGAGACACGGGCCUGUCUGCGCUGUGCCGUGCCCACAUUGCUGUGACGAACGUAAUAAGGAUUGGCGGUGUUAAUGUGGAGACUGAGUAACUGUAAUGGAGCCUGCCCUAGCAGGGUGGAAGUGCUGAGAUCUUUGGUGGCUUUAACUGACCCUCGGGAGGGGAAGCUGACUCAGUCUCAAGAGAAAGCAUUAAAGUUGCCAGACAUUUGGAAAACCAUACAUACAGCUGUUCCUGGGCCUACAUCAAGGACCUC
Molecule: long non-coding RNA, 476 nt
Filed under: Chrysolophus pictus (golden pheasant)
Lineage: Eukaryota; Metazoa; Chordata; Aves; Galliformes; Phasianidae
Description: lncRNA (ENSCPIG00010011821.1)
Source: RNAcentral